Molecule: non-coding RNA, 485 nt
Organism: Salvelinus sp. IW2-2015
Lineage: Eukaryota; Metazoa; Chordata; Actinopteri; Salmoniformes; Salmonidae
Source: RefSeq, a predicted model, not a curated record
CAGAGAGAGAGAGCGUGUCACAGUGUUUUCGUUCAGUACACGUUACCUCACACGCACUCUGAAGACACAGCUGCGAGAAAGGGCACCCGUAUCUAUCCGUUGCAUUACUGUUUUCUUUCCGAGAGAGCUCUGCAGACGUGAAAACACCGCGAUUCCUGCCGAAGUGGAACGCUCGCCAGUUAUCACAGUCUUUCCUGGAUUCCCUACAACCUUCUCACCGCAUUUCUCCAUCCUAGGUUUUCUGGAAUGAGCUGUUUUCCUGCUUGCGUCGUUUCCAUGUCAGCAUGGGAACUGCCGUGUCCAAAAGGAAGAAUAUAAGAAACGAUGCGACAUCUUCCGUGGCAGCAAAAGUUAGAGCAGCGCGAGCGUUUGGAGAGUACCUGUCCCACACACACCCUGAGAACCGAAACGGAUCAGCCCAUCUCCUGUCUGACACGUUUGUGGGCCCAGACUCUGUCUCCCCUGGAGGUGUCCGUCACCACCAC